Ipomoea nil (Japanese morning glory) is the source of this 95-nucleotide transfer RNA. It matches the Rfam family "tRNA". From Rfam's summary of the family: Transfer RNA (tRNA) molecules are approximately 80 nucleotides in length. Their secondary structure includes four short double-helical elements and three loops (D, anti-codon, and T loops). The record is from Rfam. NCBI's taxonomy places the organism in Eukaryota, Viridiplantae, Streptophyta, Magnoliopsida, Solanales, Convolvulaceae.
CCGACCUUAGCUCAGUUAGUAGAGCGGAGGACUGUAGUUGGAUUAAUCUAAAUUGGAAAUGCUUGAGGUCGCUGGUUCGAAUCCUGCAGGUCGGA